Molecule: long non-coding RNA, 2352 nt
Filed under: Serinus canaria (Common canary)
Lineage: Eukaryota; Metazoa; Chordata; Aves; Passeriformes; Fringillidae
Description: lncRNA (ENSSCAG00000006256.1)
Source: RNAcentral
CGGGGCCAGGCCCGGUCUGAGUUUGCGCUGGUUUGAGGCCUUUUAAACUGGUUUGGGCCCAAAGAAACUGGUGUGGGACAAAUUAAACUGGUGUGGGACAAAUUAAACUGGUGUGGGACAAAUUAAACUGGUGUGGGAUAAAUUAAACUGGUGUGGGGCGAAUUAAACUGGUGUGGGACAAAUUAAACUGGUGUGGGAUAAAUUAAACUGGUGUGGGAUAAAUUAAACUGGUGUGGGACAAAUUAAACUGGUGUGGGAUAAAUUAAACUGGUGUGGGGUGAAUUAAACUGGUGUGGGACAAAUUAAACUGGUGUGGGGUGAAUUAAACUGAAGUGGGCCCAAUUAAACUGGUGUGGGAUAAAUUAAACUGGUUUGGGCCCAGUUUGAUUUUUCCCAAUUUUCCCCAUUUAAUUCCCAUUUUUCCCCCUUUUUUCCCAAUUUCCCCCUGAUUUUUCCCAUUUUUCCCCCAUUUUUCCCCCAUUUUCCCCCCACUUUUACCCUACUUUCGUCCCGAUUUAUUCCCAUUCCCCCCAGUUUUUCCCAUUUCUUUCCCAUUUCCCCCAAAUUUUCCCCUAUUUUUCCCGUUUUCCCCAAAUUCUCUCCCUUUUUUGCAAGUUUUCCCCUAUUUUUUCCCAUUUUCCUUCCAUUUCCCCCCAAUUCUCCCCUUUUCCCAUUUUUUCCCAAUUUUCCCCCAUUUUUCUGAUUUUCCCUUUUUUCCUCCAUUUCCCCAUUUAUUCCAAAUUCCCCAUUUUUCCCAUUUUCCCCAUUUUUCCCCAUUUCCCCUCCAUUUUUCAUCCAUUUCCCCAAUAUUUCAUCAUUUUUCCCCAUUUCCCUUGAUUUCUCCAUUUUCCCAAUUUUCUCCCAUUUUUUCCCUUUUUUUUCCUUUUGUUUUCCAUUUUUUUUCCUUUUUUUUCCAUUUUUUCCUUUUCCCAUUUUUUUCCCAUUUUUCCCCAAUUUUUUUCCCUUUUCCCCCCAUUUUUUCCAAUUUCCCCCCUUUUUCCCCAGUUUUUUCCCAAUCUUUUUCAAUUUUUCCCCCUUUUCCCCAUUUUUCUGAUUUUCCCAAUUUUUCUCCCUUUUUCCCUUGUUUUGCUUUUUUCCCCCAAUUUUUCCCCCUUUUCUUUUUCCCAUUUUUCCCCUUUUUUCCUAUUUUUUACAAAUUAUUUCCCCUUUACCAUUUUUUCCAGUUUUUUCCCCAUUUUUCCCAAUUAUUUUCCCAUUUUUUUCCAAAUUUUUUCCCAUUUCUUCCCCCUUCUUUUUCCCAAGUUUUCCCCUUUUUUCCCCAUUAUUUUCCACUUUUUUCCCAUUUUUUUCCUAUUUUCCCAUUUUUCCCAAUUUUUCCCAAUUUUUUCCCAUUUUUCCCAAUUUUUCCCUUUUUUUCCCAAUUUUUCCCUUUUUUACCCAUUUUUUCCUUUUCCCCCCAUUAUUUCCCCAAUUUUUUCCCAUUUUUCCCCUUUUUUCCCAAUUUUUUCCCAUUUUCCCCAGUUUUUUCUCCUUUUUACUCAAUUUUUCCCCAUUUUUUCCCUUUUUCACCAUUUUUCCUUUUUUUUUCCCUUUUUUUUCCCCUUUUUACUCAAAAUUUUCCAAAUUUUUUCCUUAUUUCCCCCAUUUUUUCCCCAUUUUUUCCUUUUCCCCAUUUUUUUCCUUUUCCCCCAUUUUUUCCCCUUUUUACUCAAUUUUUUUCCCAUUUUUUUCCCUUUUUUCCCCAUUUUCGCCCUUUUUUCCCAAUUUUCCCCAUUUUUCCCUUUUUUUCCCAAUUUUUCCCCUUUUUACUCAAUUUUUUUCCCAUUUUUUUCCCUUUUUUCCCCCUUUUUUCCCUUUUCCCCAUUUUCCCCCCAAUUUUUUCUCCUUUUUACUCAAUUCUUUCCCUUUUUUUCCUAUUUUCUCCCCAUUUUUCCCUUUUUUCCCCAUUUUCUCCCUUUUUUCCCCAUUUUCCCCAUUUUUCCCUUUUUUUCCCAAUUUUUUUCCCUUUUUCCCCAUUUGUCCCUUUUUUUGUUCCCAAUUUUUCCCCUUUUUACUCAAUUCUUUCCCUUUUUCCCCACUUUUCCCCAUUUUUUUCCCUUUUUUCCAAUUUUUCCCUUUUUUCCCAAUGUUUUCCCCUUUUUUCCCCAUUUUUUCCCCAUUAUUUUCCCCUUUUUCCCCAUUUUCUCCUUUUUUCCCCAUUUUCUCCCUUUUUUUCCCAAUUUUUUCCUUUUUUUCCCCAUUUUUUUCCCUUUUUUCCCUUUUUCCCCAAUUUUUUCCCCUUUUUACUCAAUUUUUUCCCAAUUUUUUUCCCCUUUUCUCCCAUUUUUCCCCAUUUUCCCCCGUUUUUCCCAUUUUCCCCCUUUUUCCCCCCAAUUCCCCGUCCCGGGGCCG